RNAcentral lists this long non-coding RNA (1753 nucleotides) under Homo sapiens (human). RNAcentral's name for it is "HSALNT0336263". The record is from RNAcentral. Lineage: Eukaryota; Metazoa; Chordata; Mammalia; Primates; Hominidae.
CAACCAUUGGCGCCUGGGGCGUGGGCGGGACGGCAGUAGGUGGGGCCGCCGAGUGGGUUGAGCGUUACUGUGGCAGCGGGCAUCCCAGGGUGCGUGCGGUGCAGGGUGUGCAAGAAAAUGCGAGGUUGGAGGAGGAGGUCUGUGUGUUUUUAAGGAUUGUGUGGAGUUGUGAGGUGGCGGAGUAGGGCGGGAGAAAGAGCGGAGAGUGUGAACUGCAGUUUCCGCUUUGCGGAAGGUUGCAGCUGCUGCUGCAGAUUGGCACCUGCCAUUCCCCCAAAACCAUGGGAAACUGCCUCGAGACAGGGCUAUCUUGCCUUUCUGGUGUCUUUUCAUUUGAGGGUGAGAGGAUGAAAUGGAAAAUUGGGCGGUGAUAGCAGCGUUUUCUUUGAUCAAACUGAAAAGAGUACGGAGCAAAGUAGAAUCCUGUCCUGAAACGUGGAAACGCACAACAAAUAACAAUGAGGAGGAGAAGGAGAUUAGGAUCAUUUUAUCAGUCCCCUAUUUCUGCGGACACUCAUUUAUAUUUUUUUUCUAGCAAAAGUCUGGAGGAAGUAUUACUGAAAUAGGGGGAGGGGCCAAGCGGCGACUAAGGAACCUGAAAUGACAGAGAUUUGUUCGUACAUUCCCCGCCCCACCCCCAAAAAACCUCGUUUAAUUGUAGUCAUUGGUUGUCUUUGGUUUCUCAUAACAUUCAAACUUCUCAUGUUUUUUUCCCCUUCACUGAAUCUGAGCUUUUGCUCAUAUUUCCCUUGAUGAAAUAAUUGCCGGUUUAGUAUACAGUUGGGAGUGCAUCGGUCUUUAUUUCCUAUCCAGCUUUUCUAUGGCAGGAUGUAACUUCAUAAAAAGAAACACUUUGGCUUCCUGAUUUUCUUUAUAGCUUUAAAUGGAUUUGGACUCCUCAGGAGGAUUUGCUAAUGGUCUGAACAAGUGAAUAGAGCACUGCAAAAGAUUUGUAUACUAUUCCCGUUUUGAUCUUUUCUGCCAAUCUCUACCAAGAACUUGAUUAAAGAUCUGAGACGCUGUCCCUGGCCUACCCAAGUUUUAAUCUUCUCUUAAAUGUCAACUCAACAACAACACAUAUGGCAAGGGUAAAAACCCUCAAUGUAGAGUUUUUACAAAUCAACAAGAAAAUAAAGAUGAACGUUCGAACUGAAAAAUAUGUGCAACAGAAACAAAACCCAAAAUGGCCAGUAAAUGUGAUAGGAGGUUCAACAGGAAAAUGGAUAUCCAUACCCUACUAGUGGAAUUUUUAAUUGGUACAACAUUGCUGGAAGGCAGUUUAAUAGCAUUUGUGAAAAGCCUUUUAAAAAAAUGUAUACAUUUGACUUAGCAAUUUUACUUCUGGGAAAGAAUGGAACAAAUUUGCAAAUACACAAACACAAGCGCACAUAUCAUGGGAAUAAUUGGAACAUUGUUUAUAAUAGUGAAACACUGAGAAAAGUUCAUUGAUAAGGGAUUUGGUGUGUAAAUUAUGUUAUAUCUAUAAUAGAAUACUAUAUAGCCAUAAAAUUAUAACAUUGCCAUUUAUUUAUUUAUUUGUGUGGAAAGAUGUUCACAACAAAUUAAAAUUAAGAAGAGCUAAUAAAUUAGUAUUGUGUUUGUAUGUGUACAUAUGUAUGUUUAUAUAUAUGUAUUAAUACACAUAUAUUUCCAUUAUUUUUAAACUUAUUUAUAUGUGUAAAUUUUCAUAGAAAGCAAUACAUACACAAAAAUUUUAAUGAUCAUUUCCUCCAAGUAAUCAUAUUUUAGGUCA